This 1864-nucleotide ribosomal RNA is filed under the name Escherichia coli. RNAcentral's name for it is "partial 23S ribosomal RNA". It matches the Rfam family "Bacterial large subunit ribosomal RNA", at positions 1 to 1890 of the family's 2925-position model. Lineage: Bacteria; Pseudomonadati; Pseudomonadota; Gammaproteobacteria; Enterobacterales; Enterobacteriaceae. The record is from RNAcentral.
GGUUAAGCGACUAAGCGUACACGGUGGAUGCCCUGGCAGUCAGAGGCGAUGAAGGACGUGCUAAUCUGCGAUAAGCGUCGGUAAGGUGAUAUGAACCGUUAUAACCGGCGAUUUCCGAAUGGGGAAACCCAGUGUGAUUCGUCACACUAUCAUUAACUGAAUCCAUAGGUUAAUGAGGCGAACCGGGGGAACUGAAACAUCUAAGUACCCCGAGGAAAAGAAAUCAACCGAGAUUCCCCCAGUAGCGGCGAGCGAACGGGGAGCAGCCCAGAGCCUGAAUCAGUGUGUGUGUUAGUGGAAGCGUCUGGAAAGGCGCGCGAUACAGGGUGACAGCCCCGUACACAAAAAUGCACAUGCUGUGAGCUCGAUGAGUAGGGCGGGACACGUGGUAUCCUGUCUGAAUAUGGGGGGACCAUCCUCCAAGGCUAAAUACUCCUGACUGACCGAUAGUGAACCAGUACCGUGAGGGAAAGGCGAAAAGAACCCCGGCGAGGGGAGUGAAAAAGAACCUGAAACCGUGUACGUACAAGCAGUGGGAGCACGCUUAGGCGUGUGACUGCGUACCUUUUGUAUAAUGGGUCAGCGACUUAUAUUCUGUAGCAAGGUUAACCGAAUAGGGGAGCCGAAGGGAAACCGAGUCUUAACUGGGCGUUAAGUUGCAGGGUAUAGACCCGAAACCCGGUGAUCUAGCCAUGGGCAGGUUGAAGGUUGGGUAACACUAACUGGAGGACCGAACCGACUAAUGUUGAAAAAUUAGCGGAUGACUUGUGGCUGGGGGUGAAAGGCCAAUCAAACCGGGAGAUAGCUGGUUCUCCCCGAAAGCUAUUUAGGUAGCGCCUCGUGAAUUCAUCUCCGGGGGUAGAGCACUGUUUCGGCAAGGGGGUCAUCCCGACUUACCAACCCGAUGCAAACUGCGAAUACCGGAGAAUGUUAUCACGGGAGACACACGGCGGGUGCUAACGUCCGUCGUGAAGAGGGAAACAACCCAGACCGCCAGCUAAGGUCCCAAAGUCAUGGUUAAGUGGGAAACGAUGUGGGAAGGCCCAGACAGCCAGGAUGUUGGCUUAGAAGCAGCCAUCAUUUAAAGAAAGCGUAAUAGCUCACUGGUCGAGUCGGCCUGCGCGGAAGAUGUAACGGGGCUAAACCAUGCACCGAAGCUGCGGCAGCGACGCUGAUGCGUUGUUGGGUAGGGGAGCGUUCUGUAAGCCUGCGAAGGUGUGCUGUGAGGCAUGCUGGAGGUAUCAGAAGUGCGAAUGCUGACAUAAGUAACGAUAAAGCGGGUGAAAAGCCCGCUCGCCGGAAGACCAAGGGUUCCUGUCCAACGUUAAUCGGGGCAGGGUGAGUCGACCCCUAAGGCGAGGCCGAAAGGCGUAGUCGAUGGGAAACAGGUUAAUAUUCCUGUACUUGGUGUUACUGCGAAGGGGGGACGGAGAAGGCUAUGUUGGCCGGGCGACGGUUGUCCCGGUUUAAGCGUGUAGGCUGGUUUUCCAGGCAAAUCCGGAAAAUCAAGGCUGAGGCGUGAUGACGAGGCACUACGGUGCUGAAGCAACAAAUGCCCUGCUUCCAGGAAAAGCCUCUAAGCAUCAGGUAACAUCAAAUCGUACCCCAAACCGACACAGGUGGUCAGGUAGAGAAUACCAAGGCGCUUGAGAGAACUCGGGUGAAGGAACUAGGCAAAAUGGUGCCGUAACUUCGGGAGAAGGCACGCUGAUAUGUAGGUGAAGUCCCUCGCGGAUGGAGCUGAAAUCAGUCGAAGAUACCAGCUGGCUGCAACUGUUUAUUAAAAACACAGCACUGUGCAAACACGAAAGUGGACGUAUACGGUGUGACGCCUGCCCGGUGCCGGAAGGUUAAUUGAUGGGGU